CUCGGAGCAUCUUAGCAGUGUUAGGGCUUCUCAGUGGUUGCGGCGAGGCUUUGCGGCCUGGGACGCACGUGUGAGGAGCUGGGGCUUCGGCGGGAGCAGCCAUGUUGUGUGGACGCGGUCCCUCGCGGGAGGGUGCGGCCGAGGCUCCCCGCCCGCGCCGUGGUAUACGGGGUCCUCUCUUCCGUCUGCUGCCCACGUCUCGGGCCUCCGCCAUCUUGUCCGCUUUGGGGCGAGGGUGAAGGCAGGGCCGUGAUUGGUCGUGAAUUCUCCUAGAAGAUUUCCGUUCCCUGUGUUAGGCCACCGGUUCUCAGAUCUUUAGGAAAAUCGCUCUUUUUUUCCCCUCUGACUGUGGGAAGUAGCUUUCUUGUCCUUGCUGGAACAAACACCGUAAGGGAUGGAAAGGAGCGGGUGUGGGCGUUUUCCUGUAGGGACCGAGAAAAUACACAGCUAAGGAAGAAGCGAGUCUCCAAGUGAAUUUAUGGGAUUGUUUCUGCGAACCAGGUGUAUCUUGAAGCCCAGGGGCCACCUGCCAUCACCCCAUUGUGCUGUUCCCCUUGAAGCCGUGGGCCCCACCUCUCCAGCAGAGUACAUGACCAUCUUGAGGGGCAGCCCCAGGCUCUGGACCCGUGAGAAGUUGGCAAGGAUGGC
Molecule: long non-coding RNA, 648 nt
Filed under: Heterocephalus glaber (naked mole-rat)
Lineage: Eukaryota; Metazoa; Chordata; Mammalia; Rodentia; Bathyergidae
Description: lncRNA (ENSHGLG00000039455.1)
Source: RNAcentral